GACGAACGCUGGCGGCGUGCUUAACACAUGCAAGUCGAACGGAAAGGCCCUGCUUGCAGGGUACUCGAGUGGCGAACGGGUGAGUAACACGUGGGUGAUCUGCCCUGCACUUCGGGAUAAGCCUGGGAAACUGGGUCUAAUACCGGAUAGGAGCCAUUUUUAGUGUGAUGGUUGGAAAGUUUUUUCGGUGUAGGAUGAGCUCGCGGCCUAUCAGCUUGUUGGUGGGGUAAUGGCCUACCAAGGCGGCGACGGGUAGCCGGCCUGAGAGGGUGGACGGCCACAUUGGGGCUGAGAUACGGCCCAGACUCCUACGGGGGGCAGCAGUGGGGAAUAUUGCACAAUGGGCGCAAGCCUGAUGCAGCGACGCCGCGUGGGGGAUGACGGCCUUCGGGUUGUAAACUCCUUUCGCUAGGGACGAAGCUUUUUGUGACGGUACCUAGAUAAGAAGCACCGGCUAACUACGUG
RNAcentral lists this ribosomal RNA (465 nucleotides) under uncultured bacterium. Its description in RNAcentral is "partial 16S ribosomal RNA". It matches the Rfam family "Bacterial small subunit ribosomal RNA", at positions 28 to 507 of the family's 1533-position model. The record is from RNAcentral.